GACGGAGGGUGCAAGCGUUGUUCGGAAUUACUGGGCGUAAAGCGUACGUAGGUGGCGGAUUAAGUCGAAUGUUAAAGCCUGGGGCUCAACCCCAGAGAUGCAUUCGAUACUGGUUUGCUAGAGGGUGAUAGAGGAAAGCGGAAUUCCCAGUGUAGCGGUGAAAUGCGUAGAUAUUGGGAGGAACAUCAGUAGCGAAGGCGGCUUUCUGGGUCACACCUGACACUGAGGUACGAAAGCGUGGGGAGCAAACGGG
RNAcentral lists this ribosomal RNA (253 nucleotides) under uncultured bacterium. RNAcentral describes it as "partial 16S ribosomal RNA". It matches the Rfam family "Bacterial small subunit ribosomal RNA", at positions 524 to 776 of the family's 1533-position model. The record is from RNAcentral.